ACCCGGCUGGCUCAGUUGAUAGAGCAUGCGACUCUUGAUCUUGGGGUCGUGAGUUCAAGCCCCAUGUUGGGUG
RNAcentral lists this transfer RNA (73 nucleotides) under Ailuropoda melanoleuca (giant panda). It matches the Rfam family "tRNA". Rfam says of the family: Transfer RNA (tRNA) molecules are approximately 80 nucleotides in length. Their secondary structure includes four short double-helical elements and three loops (D, anti-codon, and T loops). RNAcentral also lists the same sequence under 1 other name. The record is from Rfam by way of RNAcentral. Lineage: Eukaryota; Metazoa; Chordata; Mammalia; Carnivora; Ursidae.